Molecule: ribosomal RNA, 503 nt
Filed under: uncultured bacterium
Lineage: Bacteria
Description: partial 16S ribosomal RNA
Rfam family: Bacterial small subunit ribosomal RNA
Source: RNAcentral
AUUGAACGCUGGCGGCAGGCUUAACACAUGCAAGUCGAGCGGGGUGAUGGUGCUUGCACUAUCACUUAGCGGCGGACGGGUGAGUAAUGCUUAGGAAUCUGCCUAUUAGAGGGGGACAACAUCUCGCAAGGGAUGCUAAUACCGCAUACGUCCUACGGGAGAAAGCAGGGGAUCACUUGUGACCUUGCGCUAAUAGAUGAGCCUAAGUCGGAUUAGCUCGGUGGUGGGGUAAAGGCCUACCAAGGCGAAGAUCUGUAGCGGGUCUGAGAGGAUGAUCCGCCACGCUGGGACUGAGACACGGCCCAGACUCGUACGGGCGGACGCAGUGGGGAAUAUUGGACAAUGGGGGGACCCCUGAUCCAGCCAUGCGGCGUGUGUGAAGAAGGCCUUAUGGUUGUAAAGCACUUUAAGCGAGGGGGAGGCUCGUUUGGUUAAUACCCAAGAUGAGUGGACGUUACUCGCAGAAUAAGCACCGGCUAGCUCUGUGCCAGCCGCCGCGGUAA